GACCAACGCUGGCGGCAUGCCUAACACAUGCAAGUCGAACGGACAGAACAGGGGAGCUUUUCGGUGUGGAACUGGAAAGUUAGUGGCGGAUGGGAGAGUAACGCGUGGACAACCUACCUUGUAAAGGGGAAUAAACACGAGAAAUCGAAGCUAAUACCCCAUAAUAACCUAGCUUCGCAUGAAGUAAGGAGGAAAGGCGGCCUUAGCGCUGUCGAUACAAGAUGGGUCCGCGUCUGAUUAGCUAGUUGGUGAGGCAAAGGCUCACCAAGGCGACGAUCAGUACCCGGCCGAGGGGGGGGAACGGCCACAUUGGAACUGAAACACGGCCCAAGCUCCAACGGGGGGCACCAGGGGGGAAUCUGCCGCAAUGGGCGAAGGCCUGACGAAGCAAUGCCGCGUGAGUGAAGAAGGCCUUCGGGUUGUAAAACUCUGUCCUUGUCGAAAAGAGAGUGUUGUAGUAACGGACAAUACUAGAACGGAAGAGGAGAAGGAAGCCCUGGCAACCUAUGU
RNAcentral lists this ribosomal RNA (510 nucleotides) under uncultured bacterium. Its description in RNAcentral is "partial 16S ribosomal RNA". It matches the Rfam family "Bacterial small subunit ribosomal RNA", at positions 28 to 506 of the family's 1533-position model. The record is from RNAcentral.